UUUACAUUUUAUUGUUAGAAUAUGCUCUUAACUAUAAUGAUUGGUAAUUCACAGUGCCAAUAUAUCACAAUAUAUUCCUGCUUAUUUAUAAGAAUUCCAGGAAACGAAGUUUACUGAGAAGCAGUGCAAAGGUAAAUUGAUGCAAAAGUAUUGCUUUCUUCAUUUGGAGAUCUCUGUUGAUUUAGGGUUGGGUUAUUUUCAAAUACAAAAAAAAAAUUAUCAUUCAAUAAGACAGAGCUAAAAACUGUGUUAUGCAGCCUGGGCAUGCGCAAUAGCAAAAGCUUUUACUUCUAACAACACCUGGAAUAAAUGAUUCUUCCCCUCAGAGCCAAGAAGAUUGAUACAUGACUGGAGCCUGAAUGGUAGAACUUUUUCAGAAGUGAGGAGUCUGUUGGCCCAGAAGAUCUGCGGUAAGAUCUGCCUCAACAUACCUUACUCAUUUUUUUCAAAGAGACUCUAGAGUCUAAAAUGAACAACCAAUCAAUUCUACAAACAUUGCAUCAUGAGGAGUUGCUGCACCUCUUCUCCAGGAUUUGCAAAACGUGUAGUCCAAAUCGAGUUCGGCUAGAACUGGUCUGUCAUCAAGAUAUGGCUCAUGAAAGAGAUUGGUGUUUAGGAGGCUGGGAAAAGGAAAUAUUUUGAGAGACUUCAUGUGCUCCGCACAUGGAGGUGGCUUCCUUUUGCCUCAGGUGAAGGGAGCUUCAACAAGAUCACUCAGAGUUUGAUCAAUGAUCUUAGAAUUUGCAGAACAUAGGGACUGCCAUUUGACUCACCCUUUAGAAGUCAGGAGGAAAGGUUACGUGGCUGGCACUUCUCAUGUCUGGGAAGGAACAACUGUGAAGUGCUGACCUAGACGAAUGUUGCACUUCCGCUGAUGAGUAGGCAAUGGCGAAUGUUUUCCAGGGUCCAAAUGUGGACCCGGCAACAGAGAGGCUGUCUGUAAUCACUUUAUAAGAGACACUAACAACAAUGACCACUGGGACUAAAGAGAGCACAACGGAAGUAGUUCUGCCAGAAGGGCUGAGGAGAGGGCUGAGCAACCACCCUCAGGGGAGGCAGACCCACAUCAAAGACAUCUCAGCAGUCCCUUUCCCAUGAAAGAAAGAGCUAGAAAUUGUCCAUUUGACACACACACAAACCAGAUCCCAGAUUGCAAUUGAUUCAGAUAAUGAAAAGCUUGUUCUUUUCACUUGCUGUUCUAGCCUAACCAUGUAGGUGUCAGAAGCAGUUGUAGGCUAGGAGAGAAGUCGGAGCAAUACAGAAGCCAGUUCUGCCUUUGCCUCAAGAUCCACUGUCCACUCAGAGGCAGGCUGGCACAUGGGGGAUGAGAACAUUCCAAGAAAGAUGUGAAUCUGGAAUUUUCAUUUAUGCAGUAGAUGGGGAUUUACUACUGAAAGGAACAUGUUUUGGCAACUAAUAGUGACCAAAAGAAUUUGUACUUACUAAAAAUUAUCUUAAAAGCAUGGGAUUACCCUAGCAUUUUGUUUCAGAAACUGAAAUUAACAGAAAACUAUAAAAUUACUUUCUGCCUGAAACCUAAGAAGGUGAACUCAUGCCAGAAACCAGUUACAUUCACAAUUACCUGGAUUUUGUUAUUUCCUACAAUGAAUAAAACUUAUUAUAAAGCAGAAAAGC
RNAcentral lists this long non-coding RNA (1635 nucleotides) under Homo sapiens (human). RNAcentral describes it as "HSALNT0210404". Lineage: Eukaryota; Metazoa; Chordata; Mammalia; Primates; Hominidae. The record is from RNAcentral.